GACGAACGCUGGCGGCGUGCUUAACACAUGCAAGUCGAACGGAAAGGCCCUGCUUUUGUGGGGUGCUCGAGUGGCGAACGGGUGAGUAACACGUGAGUAACCUGCCCUUGACCUUGGGAUAACUUCAGGAAACUGGGGCUAAUACCGGAUAGGAGCUCCUGCCGCAUGGUGGGGGUUGGAAAGUUUCGGCGGUUGGGGAUGGACUCGCGGCUUAUCAGCUUGUUGGUGGGGUAGUGGCUUACCAAGGCUUUGACGGGUAGCCGGCCUGAGAGGGUGACCGGCCACAUUGGGACUGAGAUACGGCCCAGACUCCUACGGGAGGCAGCAGUGGGGAAUAGUGCACAAUGGGCGGAAGCCUGAUGCAGCAACGCCGCGUGCGGGAUGAAGGCCUUCGGGUUGUAAACCGCUUUCGCCUGUGACGAAGCGUGAGUGACGGUAAUGGGUAAAGAAGCACCGGCUAACUACGUG
This 468-nucleotide ribosomal RNA is filed under the name uncultured bacterium. RNAcentral's name for it is "partial 16S ribosomal RNA". It matches the Rfam family "Bacterial small subunit ribosomal RNA", at positions 28 to 507 of the family's 1533-position model. The record is from RNAcentral.